AUCCCAUGGUGAGGGCACUUACGUAGUAACUCUUUGGAUCUUUUCCAUGUCUCGUAUAUGGAUUCAUCAUCCAUUUGUUGAAAAGUAGUGAUCUCAUUCUGCAAAU
Gossypium hirsutum (cotton) is the source of this 106-nucleotide non-coding RNA. NCBI's taxonomy places the organism in Eukaryota, Viridiplantae, Streptophyta, Magnoliopsida, Malvales, Malvaceae. The record is from Rfam.